RNAcentral lists this ribosomal RNA (253 nucleotides) under uncultured bacterium. RNAcentral's name for it is "partial 16S ribosomal RNA". It matches the Rfam family "Bacterial small subunit ribosomal RNA", at positions 524 to 776 of the family's 1533-position model. The record is from RNAcentral.
UACGUAGGGUGCGAGCGUUGUCCGGAAUUACUGGGCGUAAAGCGUGCGCAGGCGGUUGUGCAAGACAGAUGUGAAAUCCCCGGGCUUAACCUGGGAAUUGCAUUUGUGACUGUACGGCUAGAGUGUGUCAGAGGGGGGUAGAAUUCCACGUGUAGCAGUGAAAUGCGUAGAGAUGUGGAGGAAUACCGAUGGCGAAGGCAGCCCCCUGGGAUAACACUGACGCUCAUGCACGAAAGCGUGGGGAGCAAACAGG